Molecule: ribosomal RNA, 497 nt
Filed under: uncultured bacterium
Lineage: Bacteria
Description: partial 16S ribosomal RNA
Rfam family: Bacterial small subunit ribosomal RNA
Source: RNAcentral
GAUGAACGCUGGCGGCGUGCCUAAUACAUGCAAGUCGAGCGAACGGACGAGAAGCUUGCUUCUCUGAUGUUAGCGGCGGACGGGUGAGUAACACGUGGAUAACCUACCUAUAAGACUGGGAUAACUUCGGGAAACCGUAGCUAAUACCGGAUAAUAUUUUGAACCGCAUGGUUCAAAAGUGAAAGACGGUCUUGCUGUCACUUAUAGAUGGAUCCGCGCUGCAUUAGCUAGUUGGUAAGGUAACGGCUUACCAAGGCAACGAUGCAUAGCCGACCUGAGAGGGUGAUCGGCCACACGGGAACUGAGACACGGUCCAGACUCCUACGGGAGGCAGCAGUAGGGAAUCUUCCGCAAUGGGCGAAAGCCUGACGGAGCAACGCCGCGUGAGUGAUGAAGGUCUUCGGAUCGUAAAACUCUGUUAUUAGGGAAGAACAUAUGUGUAAGUAACUGUGCACAUCUUGACGGUACCUAAUCAGAAAGCCAGGGCUAACUACGUG